UGGUUAAGUUAGAAAGGGCGCACGGUGGAUGCCUUGACACUAGGAGUCGAUGAAGGACGGGACUAACGCCGAUAUGCUUCGGGGAGCUGUAAGUAAGCUUUGAUCCGAAGAUUUCCGAAUGGGGAAACCCACCAUACGUAAUGGUAUGGUAUCCUUAUCUGAAUACAUAGGGUAAGGAAGACAGACCCAGGGAACUGAAACAUCUAAGUACCUGGAGGAAGAGAAAGCAAAUGCGAUUUCCUGAGUAGCGGCGAGCGAAACGGAACAUAGCCCAAACCAAGAGGCUUGCCUCUUGGGGUUGUAGGACAUUCUAUACGGAGUUACAAAGGAACGAGGUAGACGAAGCGACCUGGAAAGGUCCGUCGUAGAGGGUAACAACCCCGUAGUCGAAACUUCGUUCUCUCUUGAAUGUAUCCUGAGUACGGCGGAACACGUGAAAUUCCGUCGGAAUCUGGGAGGACCAUCUCCCAAGGCUAAAUACUCCCUAGUGAUCGAUAGUGAACCAGUACCGUGAGGGAAAGGUGAAAAGCACCCCGGAAGGGGAGUGAAAGAGAUCCUGAAACCGUGUGCCUACAAAUAGUCAGAGCCCGUUAACGGGUGAUGGCGUGCCUUUUGUAGAAUGAACCGGCGAGUUACGAUCCCGUGCGAGGUUAAGCUGAAGAGGCGGAGCCGCAGCGAAAGCGAGUCUGAAUAGGGCGUUUAGUACGUGGUCGUAGACCCGAAACCAGGUGAUCUACCCAUGUCCAGGGUGAAGUUCAGGUAACACUGAAUGGAGGCCCGAACCCACGCACGUUGAAAAGUGCGGGGAUGAGGUGUGGGUAGCGGAGAAAUUCCAAUCGAACCUGGAGAUAGCUGGUUCUCCCCGAAAUAGCUUUAGGGCUAGCCUUAAGUGUAAGAGUCUUGGAGGUAGAGCACUGAUUGGACUAGGGGUCCUCAUCGGAUUACCGAAUUCAGUCAAACUCCGAAUGCCAAUGACUUAUCCUUAGGAGUCAGACUGCGAGUGAUAAGAUCCGUAGUCAAAAGGGAAACAGCCCAGACCGCCAGCUAAGGUCCCAAAGUGUGUAUUAAGUGGAAAAGGAUGUGGAGUUGCUUAGACAACUAGGAUGUUGGCUUAGAAGCAGCCACCAUUUAAAGAGUGCGUAAUAGCUCACUAGUCGAGUGACUCUGCGCCGAAAAUGUACCGGGGCUAAAUACACCACCGAAGCUGCGGAUUGAUACCAAUGGUAUCAGUGGUAGGGGAGCGUUCUAAGGACAGUGAAGUCAGACCGUAAGGACUGGUGGAGUGCUUAGAAGUGAGAAUGCCGGUAUGAGUAGCGAAAGACGGGUGAGAAUCCCGUCCACCGAAUGCCUAAGGUUUCCUGAGGAAGGCUCGUCCGCUCAGGGUUAGUCAGGACCUAAGCCGAGGCCGACAGGCGUAGGCGAUGGACAACAGGUUGAUAUUCCUGUACCACCUCUUUAUCGUUUGAGCAAUGGAGGGACGCAGAAGGAUAGAAGAAGCGUGCGAUUGGUUGUGCACGUCCAAGCAGUUAGGCUGAUAAGUAGGCAAAUCCGCUUAUCGUAAAGGCUGAGCUGUGAUGGGGAAGCUCCUUAUGGAGCGAAGUCUUUGAUUCCCCGCUGCCAAGAAAAGCUUCUAGCGAGAUAAAAGGUGCCUGUACCGCAAACCGACACAGGUAGGCGAGGAGAGAAUCCUAAGGUGUGCGAGAGAACUCUGGUUAAGGAACUCGGCAAAAUGACCCCGUAACUUCGGGAGAAGGGGUGCUUUCUUAACGGAAAGCCGCAGUGAAUAGGCCCAAGCGACUGUUUAGCAAAAACACAGCUCUCUGCGAAGCCGUAAGGCGAAGUAUAGGGGGUGACACCUGCCCGGUGCUGGAAGGUUAAGGAGAGGGGUUAGCGUAAGCGAAGCUCUGAACUGAAGCCCCAGUAAACGGCGGCCGUAACUAUAACGGUCCUAAGGUAGCGAAAUUCCUUGUCGGGUAAGUUCCGACCCGCACGAAAGGUGUAACGAUUUGGGCACUGUCUCAACCAGAGACUCGGUGAAAUUAUAGUACCUGUGAAGAUGCAGGUUACCCGCGACAGGACGGAAAGACCCCGUGGAGCUUUACUGUAGCCUGAUAUUGAAUUUUGGUACAGUUUGUACAGGAUAGGCGGGAGCCAUUGAAACCGGAGCGCUAGCUUCGGUGGAGGCGCUGGUGGGAUACCGCCCUGACUGUAUUGAAAUUCUAACCUACGGGUCUUAUCGACCCGGGAGACAGUGUCAGGUGGGCAGUUUGACUGGGGCGGUCGCCUCCUAAAGUGUAACGGAGGCGCCCAAAGGUUCCCUCAGAAUGGUUGGAAAUCAUUCGUAGAGUGCAAAGGCAUAAGGGAGCUUGACUGCGAGACCUACAAGUCGAGCAGGGACGAAAGUCGGGCUUAGUGAUCCGGUGGUUCCGCAUGGAAGGGCCAUCGCUCAACGGAUAAAAGCUACCCCGGGGAUAACAGGCUUAUCUCCCCCAAGAGUCCACAUCGACGGGGAGGUUUGGCACCUCGAUGUCGGCUCAUCGCAUCCUGGGGCUGUAGUCGGUCCCAAGGGUUGGGCUGUUCGCCCAUUAAAGCGGUACGCGAGCUGGGUUCAGAACGUCGUGAGACAGUUCGGUCCCUAUCCGUCGUGGGCGUAGGAAAUUUGAGAGGAGCUGUCCUUAGUACGAGAGGACCGGGAUGGACGCACCGCUGGUGUACCAGUUGUUCUGCCAAGGGCAUAGCUGGGUAGCUAUGUGCGGAAGGGAUAAGUGCUGAAAGCAUCUAAGCAUGAAGCCCCCCUCAAGAUGAGAUUUCCCAUAGCGUAAGCUAGUAAGAUCCCUGAAAGAUGAUCAGGUUGAUAGGUUCGAGGUGGAAGCAUGGUGACAUGUGGAGCUGACGAAUACUAAUAGAUCGAGGACUUAACCAU
RNAcentral lists this ribosomal RNA (2923 nucleotides) under Bacillus sp. JKS001846. RNAcentral describes it as "bacterial LSU rRNA". It matches the Rfam family "Bacterial large subunit ribosomal RNA". Lineage: Bacteria; Bacillati; Bacillota; Bacilli; Caryophanales; Bacillaceae. The record is from RNAcentral.